AUUGAACGCUGGCGGCUGGCCUAACACAUGCAAGUCGAACGAGUGGCGGACGGGUGAGUAAUGUAUGGGAACGUGCCUGAUGGCGGGGGCUAACUACUGGAAAAGGUAGCUAAUACCGCAUACCAUCAGAUGUGCCCAGAUGGGAUUAGCGAGUUGGUGGGGUAAAGGCUCACCAAGGCGACGAUCCCUAGCUGGUCUGAGAGGAUGACCAGCCACACUUGAACUGGGACACGGUCCAGACUCCUACGGGAGGCAUCAGUGGGGAAUCUUGUACAAUGGGCGCAAGCCUGAUACAGCCAUGCCGCGUGUAUGAAGAAGGCCUUCGGGUUGUAAAGUACUUUUGGCAGGGAGGCGUUACCCGCAGAAGAAGCACCGGCUAACUCCGUGCCAGCAGCCGCGGUAAUAC
Molecule: ribosomal RNA, 406 nt
Filed under: uncultured bacterium
Lineage: Bacteria
Description: partial 16S ribosomal RNA
Rfam family: Bacterial small subunit ribosomal RNA
Source: RNAcentral